CAACUCUGGAGAGACCGGUCAAACCCGGCGCCGAAGGUGCAUGGGACAGGCUCGCGCCCGUCCCGAACUCUCAGGCAAAAGGACAGAGGGG
RNAcentral lists this non-coding RNA (91 nucleotides) under uncultured Luteimonas sp. Its description in RNAcentral is "Glycine riboswitch". It matches the Rfam family "Glycine riboswitch aptamer", at positions 6 to 89 of the family's 94-position model. From Rfam's summary of the family: This family represents the bacterial glycine riboswitch. Glycine riboswitches usually consist of two metabolite-binding aptamers domains with similar structures in tandem. Lineage: Bacteria; Pseudomonadati; Pseudomonadota; Gammaproteobacteria; Lysobacterales; Lysobacteraceae. The record is from RNAcentral.